ACAGGUGUCACUAAUGGGCCUUACUGGCUCUAAUUGGACUCAUCUAGCUUUCUGUCAGCAUUCUCUGCCCACGAGCCCAGAAGCUGCAUUUCAACCUUUCUCAUAGUGCUGAAAGUCAUUUAUUGCUUCUGAUUCAGGACAUCAGCUGGUCACCUGCAGUGAUGAGGAAGGAACUGUCUGUUUCUAUUGCACCCCUUCUAUCAUUCCUUUUCCUGUCUGCAGUAUCUACACAAAGCUGCUAUUGUUAUCAUUGCUUAUUUUUCUAGUAAUAGCAUAUUUUUGAAAUGCAGGAAGAUAAUUCUGAAUUUGAACACAUUACUGAUAUAUGCUGUAAUAAAAUGGUCCCUGUUUUGCUUUGUACUUAUUUACUAAUGUUCUGUUGUCCUUCUGGCCACAUAUGAGCACUUUGCUGUUUGUUUCCACAGAACUAUUUGCAGUGAGGCUAAGACCCCUUUCUUAGAGUCAUAGAGACUCAUUAUGAUUCUCACACAUGGAAACAAAUGAGCUAACUGCAGUCAGGAUUGCUCAUUCCAGGUGUUUACUGAAUUCUGUCAGCUAUUUUAUCACAUAGUUGCUAACAUGAGAUCCUUCUUCAACUGUUUGCAAACUCAGUAAUGUUUAGAGAACAAAGGAAAUAACAGACAUGAGUGAAAACUGUUUAACCUCUUAAAGAUUAACUUCACUGCACGUACAGUCAGUCGUAUGUCUCCUUUCAUACUUGGUUUCCUACAGAGCUUUUUGGACACGGGCACAGGCCUUCUGUUAGCUCCUAUGACUGCUGUGCAAGUACUCAGCUUCUUAAACAGACUGAGAGCACAGUGUUCAGAAUUGGAUGAAAUGCCCGCUGUCUGGGUGGAAAGUGAUACCCAAGAGCUGAUAUCUUCUCUCUCACAAGUCUCAGACCUGAUGCCUGGAUGGAGCUUUUCGAUUCUAAACUGUGCAUUGCUUCGAAGUCUUGCAGAUAUCUAGAGGGGACUAUCUUUCAGACUGAACUGUGAAGUUCCCUCUUGAACACUUAGGAGAUAAAGUAAGCAUGCAUAA
This 1041-nucleotide long non-coding RNA is filed under the name Phasianus colchicus (ring-necked pheasant). Its description in RNAcentral is "lncRNA (ENSPCLG00000003209.1)". The record is from RNAcentral. Lineage: Eukaryota; Metazoa; Chordata; Aves; Galliformes; Phasianidae.